Long non-coding RNA from Tachysurus vachellii, 302 nucleotides. RefSeq lists it as uncharacterized. The transcript has 3 exons. NCBI's taxonomy places the organism in Eukaryota, Metazoa, Chordata, Actinopteri, Siluriformes, Bagridae. The record is from RefSeq and is a predicted model, not a curated record.
AUUAGAAAUCAUUAAUCACUGCCCUGCUGUCAAAGAUUUCAAGGAGAGAUGGCCAGCUCUUUUUUGUGAAUCUGAGAUUAAGAAUGAGUUCAGAAGGAUAACCACAGUUCCCCUGGAGCCAACCUUUCUGCAAACACUGGACCUCUACACUCCAAAGCUCCUGGAUUUGUUUAAAAUGAAGGGUGGGUAUGCAGGCAUAAAAAUAAGAAGUAUGCUAGAUUCUCUCUGCCAGCGAGUUGAAGAUAAGAGAGAUGCUGUGAUUCGGUGCCUGCUUUCCUACCUGGGAGAAUCAUCUGAGGAGC